Molecule: unclassified non-coding RNA, 400 nt
Filed under: uncultured fungus
Lineage: Eukaryota; Fungi
Description: sequence contains ITS1
Source: RNAcentral
CCGUCAAUUCAUUUGAGUUUCAGCCUUGCGACCGUACUCCCCAGAUGGCGGGCUUAACGGCUUCCCUUCGGCACUGACAUCACUCGCAGUAAUGCCAACACCUGGCCCGCAUCGUUUACAGCUAGGACUACCCGGGUAUCUAAUCCGGUUCGCGACCCUAGCCUUCGUCCCUCACCGUCGGACCCGGUCUGGUCAGACGCCUUCGCUACUGGUGGUCCCUCAAGGAUUAACGGAUUUCACCCCUACCCUUGAAGUACCUCUGACCUCUCCCGGUCCCAAGCCAAGCAGUAUUCCCUGAAAGCUUAACCGUUGAGCGGUUAAAUUUCCCAAAGAACUUACCUGGCCGGCUACGGACGCUUUAGACCCAAUAAUCGUGGCUACCACUUGGGCUGCCGGUGUU